Molecule: ribosomal RNA, 678 nt
Filed under: uncultured archaeon
Lineage: Archaea
Description: bacterial SSU rRNA
Rfam family: Archaeal small subunit ribosomal RNA
Source: RNAcentral
UCCCUAUGGGGUGCAGCAGUCGCGAAAACUUUGCAAUAAGCGAAAGCUUGACAGGGCUAUCCCGAGUGCCAUCCGCUGAGGAAGGCUUUUACCCAGUCUAGAACGCUGGGGGAAUAAGGAGAGGGCAAGUCUGGUGUCAGCCGCCGCGGUAAUACCAGCUCUCCGAGUGGUGUGGAUGUUUAUUGGGCCUAAAGCAUCCGUAGCUGGCUAGGUCAGUCCCUUGUUAAAUCCACCGAAUUAAUCGUUGGAUUGCGGGGGAUACUGCUUGGCUAGGGGACGAGAGAGGCAGACGGUAUUUUCGGGGUAGGGGUGAAAUCCUAUAAUCCCGGGAAGACCACCAGUGGCGAAGGCUGUCUGCUAGAACGCGCCCGACGGUGAGGGAUGAAAGCUGGGGGAGCGAACCGGAUUAGAUACCCGGGUAGUCCCAGCUGUAAACGAUGCAGACUAGGUGUUUGGACGGCCACGUGCCGUUCUAGUGCCGCAGGGAAGCUGUUAAGUCUGCCGCCUGGGGAGUACGAUCGCAAGAUUGAAACUUAAAGGAAUUGGCGGGGGAGCACCACAGGGGGUGAAGCUUGCGGUUUAAUUGGAGUCAACGCCGGAAAUCUCACCGGGAGCGACAGCAGUAUGAAGGCCAGAUUAAAGGUCUUGCCAGACGAGCUGAGAGGAAGUGCAUGGCCA